UAGAGGAAAGGAAGUAUUAGUACAGAGGAUAGCCACUAGAGGAAAGGAAGUAUUAGUACAGAGGAUAGCCACUAGAAUGAAGUAGUACUGAGGAGAGAUUGGAAAGAGAGUAGCAGUGGUGAGAGUUACCACACAGUAUAUUAGCAGCCAAUCAAAGGGAACAGACAUGGAGGAGGAAGUUGUUAACUGUUGGGGAGGGAAAACUAGCCAUAGCAGGAAUAGGAGACUCAGCCUAUGGCUGUGCCCAUCCUAGAGGUACUUUUUUCUGGCACCUGAGUUUUUGAUCCAUGCUGUGUGUUUACUGGCAAGACAGUUGUUACCGAAAGGGUUUUAAAACUGUGCAAGCUGUAAGAUUUUAUACUGUUUUUGUUGUACAGAUUUUAUAUGCUGGACCUGAUCAUUGCCAUGGCACCGUAUGCAGAUGAACCCUCCAUGACUAAGAUCUAUCACACUAUUUUGCCAUAUCUUGAGGCUCUAAACAGACGGUGAACCUCAACAAGCAGUAUUUGUAUUUGGGCAGUUAUAAUAAAGCUUUAUUGUGUAUUUCACAGGAUAAAAAUCACAGUUUGCAGAAGAAAGCCUAUAGAGUUUUGGAGGAAAUAUGUGCAGGGGAACAGCCACCAUGCAAAGAAUUUGUAAACAACAAUCUGGAAGAAUUACAGAAAACACUCCUGACUUCCCUGAAAAGCACUUCAUCCUUUCAUCCCCUGGUAAACGGUAUGGAAGACAUUUUGGCUGAUUCUGAUGAAGUAGAGGAAGAGGAAGAGAAACCAACCAAACAACAAAAGAAACGGGCCCGGCAGAAGAGCCAGGCUUGGCUUAAAGAAGGGGAGGAAGAUGACCCAGUAAAUUUCCUUGAUCCCAAAGCUGCACAGCGUGUACUGGCUCUCGACAAAAGGCCAUGAUUCCCAGACCUGGAUGUAAUGGAGAAGAAGGGCACAUAACCUCCUUUGCAACCACAGACUGGCACAGAAAAAAUAUAUUUUGUAGCAGUUACCGUAAAAGAGAUGCUAUAAGAAUACAGCAAUUCAGUAAGUACCCCUUUUUCUUAAUUAAACAUUAUGAAUGCUGAAGGUUUGCUCUCAUUAUGUUCCAUGGUGUGUGCUGAGAAGCCAAAUAAUGUACCCGCUUGUGUUAUACUCACAGGGAUGCAUUGGGACAGUGAAUGCAAUAAAAGGAACAAGUAAUAUUUUUUCCUACAUUCCAAGUUUCUCUGUGUUUCUUUGGGUAUGGUGCUUUAAGGUCAAUGUGCUCCAUUAUUACAUUAUACGUUAUUGGUAAAAUACAUUUUUACAUUUUUUUUUUUUUUUUUUUUUACACUUGGUUUGUACAUGAGACAUAAACGUGUGACAUAAUGAAGAAUUCUCGCUUAUUGAGAGCUUAUAGCCAAAAAGUGAAAUAAUUCUAGAACCAUAAAAAAUGAUGACCAACUGCAAAUUAUUUCAGAAUAUCAUUGUCGACAUCAUACUAAAAUUAAAUUUUAAGACAAAUUAGCCCUUUAAAGUUAAUAUUAAAACAUAAAUCCCAAAUCUUAAAGACAAUUUUGACCUGAAUAAAUCUAAAACUCAAUAAAGACAAAUUGAGCCAAUGAAACACUUUACUCACAGUCGCACCAUUGGUUGAAUUAGCACAUGUUUGUACAUGUGAGCAGUAACGCCACGUCAAGGCUUCAACCCUGUUACCG
Xenopus tropicalis (tropical clawed frog) is the source of this 1684-nucleotide long non-coding RNA. RefSeq lists it as uncharacterized. The transcript has 3 exons. NCBI's taxonomy places the organism in Eukaryota, Metazoa, Chordata, Amphibia, Anura, Pipidae. The record is from RefSeq and is a predicted model, not a curated record.